Molecule: ribosomal RNA, 253 nt
Filed under: uncultured bacterium
Lineage: Bacteria
Description: partial 16S ribosomal RNA
Rfam family: Bacterial small subunit ribosomal RNA
Source: RNAcentral
UACGAAGGGGGCUAGCGUUGCUCGGAAUUACUGGGCGUAAAGGGCGCGUAGGCUGUGCUGUAAGUCAGGCGUGAAAGCCCCGGGCUCAACCUGGGAAUUGCGCUUGAUACUGCGGCGCUGGAAGGUGGGAGAGGAUGGCGGAAUUCCCAGUGUAGAGGUGAAAUUCGUAGAUAUUGGGAAGAACACCGGUGGCGAAGGCGGCCAUCUGGCCCAUUUUUGACGCUGAGGCACGAAAGCGUGGGGAGCAAACAGG